Molecule: ribosomal RNA, 468 nt
Filed under: uncultured bacterium
Lineage: Bacteria
Description: partial 16S ribosomal RNA
Rfam family: Bacterial small subunit ribosomal RNA
Source: RNAcentral
GACGAACGCUGGCGGCGUGCUUAACACAUGCAAGUCGAACGGAAAGGCCCUGCUUUUGUGGGGUGCCCGAGUGGCGAACGGGUGAGUAACACGUGAGUAACCUGCCCUUGACUUUGGGAUAACUUCAGGAAACUGGGGCUAAUACCGGAUAGGAGCUCCUGCUGCAUGGUGGGGGGUGGAACGUUUCGGCGGUUGGGGAUGGACUCGCGGCUUAUCAGCUUGUUGGUGGGGUAGUGGCUUACCAAGGCUUUGACGGGUAGCCGGCCUGGGAGGGUGACCGGCCACAUUGGGACUGAGAUACGGCCCAGACUGCUACGGGAGGCAGCAGUGGGGAAUAUUGCACAAUGGGCGGAAGCCUGAUGCAGCAACGCCGCGUGCGGGAUGACGGCCUUCGGGUUGUAAACCGCUUUCGCCUGUGACGAAGCGUGAGUGACGGUAAUGGGUAAAGAAGCACCGGCUAACUACGUG